UACGUAGGUGGCGAGCGUUGUCCGGAAUCAUUGGGCGUAAAGAGCGCGUAGGUGGCUUGUCAGGUCCGAUGUGAAAACCUGGGGCUCAACUCCAGGCCUGCAUCGGAAACCGGCUUGCUAGAGUCUGGGAGAGGAGAGUGGAAUUCCUGGUGUAGCGGUGAAAUGCGUAGAUAUCAGGAGGAACACCGGUAGCGAAGGCGGCUCUCUGGAACAGUACUGACGCUGAGGCGCGAAAGCUAGGGGAGCGAACAGGAUUAGAUACCCUGGUAGUCCUAGCCGUAAACGAUGGACACUAGGUGUCGGGGGUGUCGACUCCCUCGGUGCCGAAGCUAACGCAUUAAGUGUCCCGCCUGGGGAGUACGGCCGCAAGGCUAAA
Molecule: ribosomal RNA, 376 nt
Filed under: uncultured bacterium
Lineage: Bacteria
Description: bacterial SSU rRNA
Rfam family: Bacterial small subunit ribosomal RNA
Source: RNAcentral